GCGGUAAAACCAGCACCUCAAGUGGUCAGGAGGAUUAUUGGGCCUAAAGCAUCCGUAGCCUGCUCUGUAAGUUUUCGGUUAAAUCUAUAUGCUCAACGUAUAGGCCGCCGAAAAUACUGCAGUGCUAGGAAGUGGGAGAGGUAGACGGUACUUGGUAGGAAGGGGUAAAAUCCUUUGAUCUAUCGAUGACCACCUGUGGCGAAGGCGGUCUACCAGAACACGUUCGACGGUGAGGGAUGAAAGCUGGGGGAGCAAACCGGAUUAGAUACCCGGGUAGUCCCAGCUGUAAACGAUGCAGACUCGAUGAUGCAUUGGCAUAUAGCCAGUGCAGUGUCGCAGGGAAGCCGUUAAGUCUGCCGCCUGGGAAGUACGUACGCAAGUAUGAAACUUAAAGGAAUUGGCGGGGGAGCACGGUCAUACUU
This 422-nucleotide ribosomal RNA is filed under the name crenarchaeote SCGC AAA007-G17. RNAcentral's name for it is "SSU rRNA". It matches the Rfam family "Archaeal small subunit ribosomal RNA", at positions 467 to 889 of the family's 1478-position model. The record is from RNAcentral. Lineage: Archaea; Thermoproteati; Thermoproteota.